UCCAGACUCCUACGGGAGGCAGCAGUGGGGGAUAUUGCACAAUGGGGGGAACCCUGAUGCAGCGACGCCGCGUGGGUGAAGGAGCGUUUCGGCGCGUAAAGCCCUAUCGGCAGGGAAGAAGGAGGACGGUACCUGACUAAGAAGCCCCGGCUAACUACGUGCCAGCAGCCGCGGUAAUACGUAGGGGGCAAGCGUUAUCCGGAUUUACUGGGUGUAAAGGGGGCGCAGACGGCGGCGCAAGCCAGGAGUGAAAGCCCGGGGCCCAACCCCGGGACUGCUCUUGGAACUGCGCGGCUGGAGUGCAGGAGGGGCAGGCGGAAUUCCUGGUGUAGCGGUGAAAUGCGUAGAUAUCAGGAGGAACACCGGUGGCGAAGGCGGCCUGCUGGACUGCGACUGACGUUGAGGCCCGAAAGCGUGGGGAGCAAACAGGAUUAGAUACCCCGGUACA
Molecule: ribosomal RNA, 448 nt
Filed under: uncultured bacterium
Lineage: Bacteria
Description: partial 16S ribosomal RNA
Rfam family: Bacterial small subunit ribosomal RNA
Source: RNAcentral